CCUACGGGAGGCAGCAGUGAGGAAUAUUGGUCAAUGGGCGCGAGCCUGAACCAGCCAUGCAGCGUGCAGGAUGACGGCCCUACGGGUUGUAAACUUCUUUUGUAAAAGAGUAAAGUGAGGCACGUGUGCCUUUUUGUAAGUACUUUAUGAAUAAGGAUCGGCUAACUCCGUGCCAGCAGCCGCGGUAAUACGGAGGAUCCGAGCGUUAUCCGGAUUUAUUGGGUUUAAAGGGUGCGUAGGUGGGUUGUUAAGUCAGUUGUGAAAUGUUGCGGCUUAACCGGAGAAUUGCAAUUGAUACUGGUAGUCUAGAGAACAGAUGAGGUAGGCGGAAUGCAUGGUGUAGCGGUGAAAUGCUUAGAGAUCACGAAGAACUCCGAUUGCGAAGGCAGCUUACCAAACUGCCACUGACAUUGAGGCUCGAAAGUGUGGGUAGCAAACAGGAUUAGAUACCCGGGUAGUC
This 460-nucleotide ribosomal RNA is filed under the name uncultured bacterium. Its description in RNAcentral is "partial 16S ribosomal RNA". It matches the Rfam family "Bacterial small subunit ribosomal RNA", at positions 338 to 795 of the family's 1533-position model. The record is from RNAcentral.